RNAcentral lists this ribosomal RNA (406 nucleotides) under uncultured microorganism. Its description in RNAcentral is "bacterial SSU rRNA". It matches the Rfam family "Archaeal small subunit ribosomal RNA", at positions 330 to 743 of the family's 1478-position model. The record is from RNAcentral.
GCGCAGCAGGCGCGAAACUUUACAAUGUGCGAAAGCACGAUAAGGGAACUCUGAGUGCCUCCUAAGGAGGCUGUUCAGGUGUCUAAAAGCACCUGGAGUAAGGGCUGGGUAAGACCGGUGCCAGCCGCCGCGGUAACACCGGCAGCCCAGGUGGUAGCCACUUUUAUUGGGUCUAAAGCGUCCGUAGCCGGUUGAGUAAGUUCCUUGGGAAAUUUGGCUGCUCAACAGUCAAGCUUCCAGGGAAUACUGCUCGACUUGGGACUGGGAGAGGUCAGAGGUACUCCAGGGGUAGGGGUGAAAUCCAUUAAUCCCUGGGGGACCACCGGUAGCGAAGGCGUCUGACCAGACCAGGUCCGACGGUGAGGGACGAAGGCUAGGGUCGCGAACCGGAUUAGAUACCCCUGUA